Molecule: non-coding RNA, 71 nt
Organism: Parelaphostrongylus tenuis
Lineage: Eukaryota; Metazoa; Nematoda; Chromadorea; Rhabditida; Metastrongylidae
Source: the annotation of a GenBank genome assembly
GCGUCGGUGGUGCAACGGUUGCAUACGCUCCCGGAAAGAGUAAGAUCUGGGGUCGAAUCUCGGCUGAUGCA